Molecule: ribosomal RNA, 520 nt
Filed under: uncultured bacterium
Lineage: Bacteria
Description: bacterial SSU rRNA
Rfam family: Bacterial small subunit ribosomal RNA
Source: RNAcentral
GGGAACGUACCCUUCGGUUCGGAAUAACUCAGGGAAACUUGAGCUAAUACCGGAUACGCCCUUUUGGGGAAAGGUUUACUGCCGAAGGAUCGGCCCGCGUCUGAUUAGCUUGUUGGUGGGGUAACGGCCUACCAAGGCGACGAUCAGUAGCUGGUCUGAGAGGAUGAUCAGCCACACUGGGACUGAGACACGGCCCAGGCUCCUACGGGAGGCAGCAGUGGGGAAUAUUGGACAAUGGGCGCAAGCCUGAUCCAGCCAUGCCGCGUGAGUGAUGAAGGCCUUAGGGUUGUAAAGCUCUUUUGUCCGGGACGAUAAUGACGGUACCGGAAGAAUAAGCCCCGGCUAACUUCGUGCCAGCAGCCGCGGUAAUACGAAGGGGGCUAGCGUUGCUCGGAAUCACUGGGCGUAAAGGGCGCGUAGGCGGCCGAUUAAGUCGGGGGUGAAAGCCUGUGGCUCAACCACAGAAUUGCCUUCGAUACUGGUUGGCUUGAGACCGGAAGAGGACAGCGGAACUGCGAGU